CACGUAGGGGGCAAGCGUUGUUCGGAAUUACUGGGCGUAAAGGGCAUGUAGGCGGUUUUGUAAGCCUGGCGUGAAAGUCAUCGGCUCAACCGAUGGAUUGCGUCAGGAACUGCAGGGCUUGAAUCACGGAGAGGGAGCUAGAAUUCCUGGUGUAGGGGUGAAAUCUGUAGAGAUCAGGAAGAAUACCAGUGGCGAAGGCGAGCUCCUGGCCGAUGAUUGACGCUGAGGUGCGAAAGUGUGGGGAU
RNAcentral lists this ribosomal RNA (245 nucleotides) under uncultured bacterium. Its description in RNAcentral is "partial 16S ribosomal RNA". It matches the Rfam family "Bacterial small subunit ribosomal RNA", at positions 524 to 768 of the family's 1533-position model. The record is from RNAcentral.